GCGGCAGGGAUCGAGGGAGAGGUGGCGAUCUGGUGUCGCCGAUUUGGAAUCCAGGGGGGAAAAUUUCUGCGCGUUUGAUCGGUUGCAGAAUUUCUGCGCGUUUGAUCGGUUGCAGAGGAGAGGUGUUUGUGCCGUCGUAGAUUCGGGGGGGGGGGGCAUGACAUGAUGGGCUCGGGGGAGGCAGAUCCGGGGAGUGAGAUAGGUUCCGGCGAGGAGGUGCCGUUGGCGUCGCUGGUUCCCUGCUCGAUCUGCUUGGAGCCGGUGAAGGACGGUGGCGAACGGUCCACGGCGAAGCUGCAAUGUGGGCAUCGAUUUCAUCUAGGUCAGUUCCCGACGAUGGCUUAAUAUUUUAAGAAUUUUCAUUUUGUGUGUCUUCUGUUUCUAUGCUUGAGUUCUCCUGCAUUAGGUGAAAGGGACGGGCUUCCUUUCUGUUGUUUAUGUGGCGAUAAUCUUCAUUUAGAAGUUCUGUGGAUCAUCGGUAGAUUUUUCUUUGAGAGUUAAAUACUGCUAGAAAAAGCGUAGGGGCUCUUGUGAACCGGAAAGUUUUAGGAGUUCAGUUUCCAAAUUUUCAGAGAUAGGACAUUAAUUUAGGUUAAUGUCGUGAAUUAAACCACAGAUAUUUGCUGUUUUUCUUGUAAAAUUAAAACUUCCGGUGACUCUUGGUUUUCGGACAAAGAAUUCAGUUUUAGAGGAACCGUGUUUGUAGCCUUGGAUGCAGAAGUAUUGUUGUCUGUGUGAUGAUCAUAUACAUUGUUGCACUCGUCUGGCCUUCGAAAAGCGUUGUUUAUUUCUCUUGGUCGUCACUGUAAAUCAGAAGCGUUUAUUUAUAACGUCUAGGAUACAUGAAAGUGAUAAAAUAUCUGUGUUGCAGAACAUUGCACAAGAAAUUACGAAAAUGUCUGGGAAUAAGAGGGAAGAGGACAGAGCCUUGGAUUAGAUGGAUAGCCCUGGUUUCUGAACAGUACUUGGAUGUCACAUGAGGGUAAACGUGCUGCGGACUUUGAUUAAAUUCAAAUAAUAUCAAUAAACUUGUUAUCUUCGUAGACUGAAAAGAGCAAUGAUUGAUUCAUUGCCAAGCAAAGCAGCAUAUUCAAAUUCCAUAUUCCCUUUUCGGCUUAAAGAAAACUUGUCUUUAAUUACGUAGAUAUCUAUUAAGAUACAACUCAAAGGUAAGUGAAUCACAUACCUUAGGGCUGUUAGCCAAUAGUUCCUGUAGGGCGUCCAGCCCUAGGGGAGAUAAUACCCUGAUUACCCUAGAUCUCGAUAGGAAUCCACUGCCUGAGCGCUCUGGCCGAAUGCAGCCCCCUCGCUCUCCCGCUUCUUCCUUCCAAAUUCUAGAAUGCCCCCUAAGGAACCCUAGGCUCCUUAUUUAUACUUCCCACCUUCACGGUGGGCAUUAGUUGUUCCCUUACUUUCCUUUCUCCCCCCCCUUCUGAGGUGGAGCUUCCUUUGCUAUUUUUGGGUGUUUCUGUCUUUUAGCUGUUUUCUCUCAUAUUUCCGCAUCGGUAUCAUAACAUGACCCCCCCCAUCCACAACCACCUUGUCCCCAAGGUGGAAUUCCAAAAACUGUUGUCGAAUGAUUGAGAGAGGUUCCCAAGAGGAAUCGGUGAUGGGGAGGCCUUUCCACUAGAUGCAUAUUUCAAUAGUGCCUGAUCUCUCCCGGGCAUUUAAGACUUUCUCUGGAAUAAGCUGCCACUCCAGCUGAUCCGACAAGAGAGAGGGGAUCGGUGUAGCUUGUUCACUGUCACCAAGAGCUUUCUUUAGUUGCGACACAUGGAAAACCGGGUGUAAAUAGCACUCAGGUGGAAGGUCCAGACUGUAUGCAACAGUGCCCACCUUCUUCAAGAUCGUGUAGGGGCCAAAAAAUUUUGGUGAUAAUUUUUCAUUGAUUCGUUUUGCUAACAAUCGCAUCCGAUAGGGUCUCAGCCUUAAAUAUACCUUGUCACCUUCUGCAAAUUGUAGGUCUCUUCGAUGUUUGUCAGCUUGAGCUUUCAUACGAGAUUGUGCUUGUGAUAGUUUCUAUUUGAGAGUAGUCAACAUAUGGUCUCUUUCUAGUAACAUACUGUCCACAAAGUCAAUAGGGGACGGUUGAGUACCAUAGAACAAUAACUUGGGUGGAUCACAACCAUACACCACAUUAAAGGGGGUAGUUUUAAGAGCAGAAUGAUAUGUUGUGUUGUAAGAGUACUCAGCCCAAUGUAGCCAUUUGGACCACCUUUUAGGUAUCUCUAAUGUAUAGCAACGAAGAUAACCUUCAAGACACCUAUUAAGUCUUUCUGUCUGUCCAUCAGUCUGCGGGUGAUAAGAGGAUCUCAUCCGCAACAGGGUGCCUUGUUGGGCUUGUAACUCAUUCUAAAAUAGAUUGGUGAAUAUUUUAUCACGAUCGGAAACAAUUGAUGUGAGAAUGCCAUGGAGUUUGACUAUUUCUUUGGUGAAUAGUUCUGUUACUCUUGGAGCUGUGAAGGGGUGUUUUAGAGGGAUGAUAUGUCCAUAUUUGCUGAGGAGAUCGACUACGACCAUAAUGCAAUCAAACCCAUUAGAUAGGGGUAGUCCUUCAAUAAAGUCCAUCGCAACCUCCUCCCAUAUACGCUCUAGAAUGGGUAACGGUUGGAGAAGUCCUGUUAGGGACAAUAUUGAUACCUUGUGAGUUUGGCAAGUGUGGCACUUGUCCACAUACCUCUUAACAUCUUUUUUCAUAUUCCUCCAAUAUAGGUCUUUAGUGAUGCGCUGAUAUGUGCGUAGGAAACCUGCAUGACCUCCUGCCUUUGAGUCAUGAUAAUCUCGUAAUAUUUGUUCAAGGAGAGAUGAAGACGGGGAGAGUACCAAUCUGCCAUUAUACAGCAAGGUGCCCUGAUGUAGUUUGAACUUAGGGUGACAAUUGGGAUCAUUGGAGAUCUCACUGAUGAUUUUUUGUAGUGGUGGGUCGUUCAGCAGCUCUUGCCAGAUGAGAUCAUGAUUUAAGCUGCUCAGCCUAGUGACCGUAAGAUUGCAUAAUUCUGUAGAGUAAGGAAUUCGUGAUAAAGCAUCAGCAACAAUAUUAUGUUUCCCUGGUUUAUACUCGAUCUCAAAGCUGUAACCAAGCAGUUUGUAGGCUAACUUGUUGUAAGGCUCUUGUACUUGUUGUUGCGACAAUAAAAACUUUAGGUUGUACUAAUCAGUCCGAAUGAUAAAGGGUUGGUGUAUCACAUAGUGUUUCCACUUUUGAACAGCUAAGACAAUGGCCAGUAACUCCCUUUCAUACGCUGAUUUUGCUUGACUUUUCUUUGGUAAACUUUGACUGAAAUAAGCAAUAGGACGACCUUUCUGAGUGAGGACUGCACCUACGCCUAUGCCUGAUACAUCUGUUUCGAUAAUGAAUUGGGACUUAAAGUCAGGUAGAGUCAAGACCGGUGUGGUGCUCAUGGCUAAUUUCAAUUUGUUAAACGUAGCUUGAGCUUGAUCUGACCAAGAGAAUGCAUCUUUUUUCAACAGGGCAGUAAGAGGAGCAGCAAUGUUAGCAUAAUUUUUUACAAAUCUGCAAUAAUAGCCCAUGAGCCCCAAAAAUCCUCGAAGAGCUUUCAAAUUUGUGGGAAUCGCCCAGCUUCUCAUGGCUUCCACCUUAACCUUGUCCGCCAUGACUCCCUCUUGAGAGAUCCAGUGGCCCAAAAAUUCUAGUUGUGUGCAGCCAAUAUGACAUUUUUUUGGAUUGACGAAUAAAGUAUGAGUCUUUAAGAUUGCAAACACACACUGUAGAUGUUUCUUAUGGUCUUCCCACGAGUGACUAUAGAUUAAAAUAUCGUCAAAGAAAACCAAGAGGGAAACCCGUAGAUAAGGUUUAAAAAUCUAAUUCAUCAAGGACUGAAAUGUAGCCGGAGCAUUCAUGAGACCGAAGGGCAUUACUCUGAACUCAUAGUGUCCUUCAUGAGUCUUGAAUGUAGUCUUAUGAAUGUCCUCUUCUUUCAUUCGUAUCUGAUGAUAACCUGAGCGCAGAUCCAAUUUGGAGAAAAUUGAAGAGCCAUGUAGUUCAUCUAACAAUUCUUUCACAACCGGAAUUAGGUAUCGAUUAGGUACAGUUACCUUGUUGAGUGCCCUGUAAUCCACACAAAAGCGCCAUCCACUAUCUUUCUUUCUCACCAGUAGAACCGGGCUUGCAAAUGGGUUGUGGGAAGGUCAGAUCAAUUAUGCAGUCAAUAAUUCUUUAACCAGCCGUUCAAUUUCAUCCUUUUGGACAUGUGAAUAUCAAUACGGACGUAGAUUAAUCACUUGAGAGUUCGGUAGUAAAUCGAUCGCGUGAUCCACUUCUCUGGUGGGCGGUAACUCUGACGGGGUUUCGAAGACCUUGGGGUACAAAGAUUGCAUUUCUUCUGUGAGAGUAACACCUUCUUGGCCAUCUGCGUGCAAUACUACACAGUCCAUACGAUAUAAUUCUAGUUUUAGCAGUUUCUUUUGUUUAAUUGCUUUGCCCACUUCCUUGUCAGACAUUUUUGAUCUGGACAGCUGUUCAUCCCCUUUAAGCUUUAUAAUCUUUUCAUCUUGUUUGAACUUCAAUAUGAGAUCCUUCCAGUGAAUAUGCGUCCAACCUAAUGACGUGAGCCAAGCCAUUCCAAGGAUUAACCCUAUGUCGCCUAGUUGAAAUGGUAGGAAAUCUGCUUGUAGAUCGACUCCUUGUAUGGAAAAAGGUACAUUCAUGCAAAUUCCUUGGCCUUUUGAAGUUUCGUUGUUACCCAAUAAUACUGAAUAUCUGAGAGAAGUAUCCACUAUGAAAGGGUCUGAAUCCAGUAGGUUUGAGCAGGUGAAAUUAUGCGACGCCCCGCUGUCUAUCAAAAUUGUAACAUAAUGGCCGUAUAUUUGGCCUUUCAUCUUCAUCGAAUUUGGGCUUAUGCAGCCUAAUAUCGAUUGUAAGGAAACAUGAGCUGUUAGUAAUUUACCGUCAACAGCUGAAUCUUCUAUCUCCCCCCAAUCGGUCUCCACCGUGGUCUCUUGGUCACCAUCUUCUUUUUCCUCAUCCACUAUAAUAAUCUGUAAUGACUGCUUACAUCUAUGGCCAGGACCGAACUUCUCAUUACAGCGGUAGUACAAUCCCUUCUCUUUUCGCAGGAGGAAUUCAUCAGCUGUUAAUGAGAGUUUCUUGUGGUUGCUUUGAUGAUCAGUUUGCCCACUUUUAUGCUUCAGUCUAUAAUCCACUUGCCCAUGAUUAGAAUUUUUCUUGUAGGUGUAAUCGGAUGACCUGGAUGAAUCCACAGGUGGUCUCUCACUUUUUUGCCAUGUCUCAUCAUAAGCUUUCCAUACCGCCAAUAUGUUCCUUUCUGUGGAGAUAGCUGCGUCCAUCAACUCUGUCAAACCGUGUAAUUUUUUUUCUGCUAGUUUUGCUUGGAUUUCUGACUUAAGUCCUCUCACAAAAAUUUCUUCUAUGAUAUCUUCAGGCAUAGGAGGCAGGUAUACUGAUAGUCGUUCAUAUUCGUUACGAUAGUCUUUCACUGACCCUGUCUGCUUAAUAUCAAAGAAUUGGUAAAGGAUGUUAUCUGAGAGAUCUUCCCCGAAGUGUUUCCCCAUGCGUAUCUUAAAAUCAUGCUAAUCUUGAAAAGAGUAACGAUCUUCCAUCCAUAUAAACCAUUGGAGGGCUGGACCCUCCAGACAUUGGAUGAUCUUAUCCAAUUUUACCUUUUCAAGAGUAAUCUUGUGAACCUUGAAAUAUUUUUGCAUCCCUCUAAGCCAGCCUUCAAUGUCUUCGCCCCUGAAGAUGGGGGCUUCUAGCUUGCUGACCAUGGAGGAGUUAUAUUUCUCUGGACUGAAUGAUUCUGGUAACUGUGCAUUGCUUGAACCACCUUCUGUGAUCUUUUUCUUGCCUUUAAUAUCUCCUGUUGAAUGUAGGGCGGAAAUUUGCGUGGAUAAGGCGUCAUACAUUUUUUCCAUGCGAUCUUGAUUUACUUCUCCUGAUUUUAAAAUCGCUGCUUCAAUGCUUGAUUCGAAAGUCUUCAUUCCCUUCUUGAUUUCUGCAAUCUCUUCUUCCAUUGCUCCCAUCCGUACCUCAAGCUCUUUGAUCGUCAUUGUUGAUGCCAGAACCGGAGGCUAUGAUACCAAAUGUUAAGAUACAACUCAAAGGUAAGUGAAUCACGUACCUUAGGGCUGUUAGCCAAUAGUUCCCGUAGGGCGUCCAGCCCUGGGGGAGAUAAUAUCCUGGUUACCCUAGAUCUCGAUAGGAAUCCACUGCCUGAGCGCUCAGGCCGAAUGCAGCCCCCUCGCUCUCCCGCUUCUUCCUUCCGAAUUCCAGAAUGCCCCCUAAGG
RNAcentral lists this long non-coding RNA (6264 nucleotides) under Spirodela polyrhiza (greater duckweed). Its description in RNAcentral is "long non-coding RNA (SPOL_LNC002314)". Lineage: Eukaryota; Viridiplantae; Streptophyta; Magnoliopsida; Alismatales; Araceae. The record is from RNAcentral.